GCGACAUGCUCUCUCUCUCUUGGACUGCUCCUUUAAAAAACCCCAGCAUUCCCAAAUAUUAGCAAAAAGUUUCAUCAUCUGGCUAAGAAGGACAGGAAAAAAUAACAAUUCUCUAGAGGAUGUUUUUCCUUUCUUAAUGAUUUUAUUUUUGGACUUUUAACUAGCUUCAAUUAAUCUAUUUUGAUAGUUUGAUCAAGAAAAAAGAAGGAUC
RNAcentral lists this long non-coding RNA (211 nucleotides) under Elaeis guineensis (African oil palm). RNAcentral describes it as "long non-coding RNA (EGUI_LNC005161)". The record is from RNAcentral. Lineage: Eukaryota; Viridiplantae; Streptophyta; Magnoliopsida; Arecales; Arecaceae.